GCUGAGACUAGAGUCACACGCUGGACACAGUCCUUACCCUGCCUGGUGUGCUAGAGUUCUCAGACAGAAUCUGCUGGUCUUGACUCACUGGUGGGAGUAGACUGUGUCCCCAUUAGCGUCUAGAUCAGAAACAUGC
Dipodomys ordii (Ord's kangaroo rat) is the source of this 136-nucleotide small nucleolar RNA. Lineage: Eukaryota; Metazoa; Chordata; Mammalia; Rodentia; Heteromyidae. The record is from Ensembl.